RNAcentral lists this ribosomal RNA (120 nucleotides) under Pteropus alecto (black flying fox). Lineage: Eukaryota; Metazoa; Chordata; Mammalia; Chiroptera; Pteropodidae. The record is from RNAcentral.
GCCUACGGCCAUGCUACCCUGACACAGGCCUGAUCCUGUCUGAUCUUGGAGGCUAAGCAGGGUCGGGCCAGGUUAGUACUUGGAUGGGAGACCAUCCAGGAAGACCAGGUGCUGUAGGCA